UGUUUGGAGAGUUUGAUCCUGGCUCAGGACGAACGCUGGCGGCGUGCUUAACACAUGCAAGUCGAACGGGAUCUGUAGUGCUUGCACUGCAGUGAGAGUGGCGAACGGGUGAGUAACACGUGAGUAACCUGCCCCCUUCUUUGGGAUAACUGCAAGAAAUUGUGGCUAAUACCGGAUAUUCUGGCUGUACCGCAUGGUGUGGUUGGGAAAGGUUUUUUUCUGGUGGGGGAUGGGCUCGCGGUCUAUCAGCUUGUUGGUGGGGUGAUGGCUUACCAAGGCUUUGACGGAUAGCCGGCCUGAGAGGGUGGUCGGUCACACUGGGACUGAGAUACGGCCCAGACUCCUACGGGAGGCAGCAGUGGGGAAUUUUGCACAAUGGACGCAAGUCUGAUGCAGCGACGCCGCGUGAGGGAUGACGGCCUUCGGGUUGUAAACCUCUUUCGCUCAUGGUCUAGGCAUGUUUUCGGGCAUGUUGAGUUGAGUGGGUAAAGAAGCGCCGGCUAACUACGUGCCAGCAGCCGCGGUAAUACGUAGGGCGCGAGCGUUGUCCGGAAUUAUUGGGCGUAAAGAGCUCGUAGGCGGUUUGUCGCGUCUGUCGUGAAAACUAGGGGCUUAACCUCUAGCUUGCGGUGGGUACGGGCAGGCUUGAGUGCAGUAGGGGAGACUGGAAUUCCUGGUGUAGCGGUGGAAUGCGCAGAUAUCAGGAGGAAUACCGGUGGCGAAGGCGGGUCUCUGGGCUGUUACUGACGCUGAGGAGCGAAAGCAUGGGGAGCGAACAGGAUUAGAUACCCUGGUAGUCCAUGCCGUAAACGUUGGGCACUAGGUGUGGGGGCUGUUGUGGUUUCUGCGCCGUAGCUAACGCAUUAAGUGCCCCGCCUGGGGAGUACGGCCGCAAGGCUAAAACUCAAAGGAAUUGACGGGGGCCCGCACAAGCGGCGGAGCAUGUGGAUUAAUUCGAUGCAACGCGAAGAACCUUACCUGGGCUUGACAUGUACGGGAUCGGGCCAGAGAUGGUCUUUCCCUUGUGGCUCGUAUACAGGUGGUGCAUGGUUGUCGUCAGCUCGUGUCGUGAGAUGUUGGGUUAAGUCCCGCAACGAGCGCAACCCUUGUCUCAUGUUGCCAGCACGUUGUGGUGGGGACUCGUGAGAGACUGCCGGGGUCAACUCGGAGGAAGGUGGGGAUGACGUCAAAUCAUCAUGCCCCUUAUGUCUUGGGCUUCACGCAUGCUACAAUGGUGCCUACAGAGUGUUGCGAUACCGUGAGGUGGAGCGAAUCACUUAAAGGGUGUCUUAGUUCGGAUCGGGGUCUGCAACUCGACCCCGUGAAGGUGGAGUCGCUAGUAAUCGCAGAUCAGCAACGCUGCGGUGAAUACGUUCUCGGGCCUUGUACACACCGCCCGUCACGUCACGAAAGUUGGUAACACCCGAAGCCUGCGGCCUAACCGUUCUUUUGGGGGGAGUGGUCGAAGGUGGGACUAGCGAUUGGGACGAAGUCGUAACAAGGUAGCCGUACCGGAAGGUGCGGCUGGAUCACCUCCUUU
RNAcentral lists this ribosomal RNA (1540 nucleotides) under Actinomycetaceae bacterium. RNAcentral's name for it is "bacterial SSU rRNA". It matches the Rfam family "Bacterial small subunit ribosomal RNA". The record is from RNAcentral. Lineage: Bacteria; Bacillati; Actinomycetota; Actinomycetes; Actinomycetales; Actinomycetaceae.